This 78-nucleotide transfer RNA is filed under the name Escherichia coli. RNAcentral describes it as "tRNA-Arg(acg)". It matches the Rfam family "tRNA", at positions 10 to 71 of the family's 71-position model. Rfam says of the family: Transfer RNA (tRNA) molecules are approximately 80 nucleotides in length. Their secondary structure includes four short double-helical elements and three loops (D, anti-codon, and T loops). Further hydrogen bonds mediate the characteristic L-shaped molecular structure. tRNAs have two regions of fundamental functional importance: the anti-codon, which is responsible for specific mRNA codon recognition, and the 3' end, to which the tRNAs corresponding amino acid is attached (by aminoacyl-tRNA synthetases). tRNAs cope with the degeneracy of the genetic code in two manners: having more than one tRNA (with a specific anti-codon) for a particular amino acid; and 'wobble' base-pairing, i.e. permitting non-standard base-pairing at the 3rd anti-codon position. The record is from RNAcentral. Lineage: Bacteria; Pseudomonadati; Pseudomonadota; Gammaproteobacteria; Enterobacterales; Enterobacteriaceae.
GCUUCCUCUUGUUGAAGUGGUGNGAGUACUCGGCUACGAACCGAGCGGUCGGAGGUUCGAAUCCUCCCGGAUGCACCA